Molecule: ribosomal RNA, 467 nt
Filed under: uncultured bacterium
Lineage: Bacteria
Description: partial 16S ribosomal RNA
Rfam family: Bacterial small subunit ribosomal RNA
Source: RNAcentral
GACGAACGCUGGCGGCGUGCUUAACACAUGCAAGUCGAACGGAAAGGCCCUGCUUUUGUGGGUGCUCGAGUGGCGAACGGGGGAGUAACACGUGAGUAACCUGCCCUUGACUUUGGGAUAACUUCAGGAAACUGGGGCUAAUACCGGAUAGUAGCUCCUGCUGCCUGGUGGGGGUUGGAAAGUUUCGGCGGUUGGGGAGGGACUCGCGGCUUAGCAGCUUGUUGGUGGGGUAGUGGCGUACCAAGGCUUUGACGGGUAGCCGGCCUGAGAGGGUGACCGGCCACAUUGGGACUGAGAUACGGCCCAGACUCCUACGGGAGGCAGCAGUGGGGAAUAUUGCACAAUGGGCGGAAGCCUGAUGCAGCAACGCCGCGUGCGGGAUGACGGCCUUCGGGUUGUAAACCGCUUUCGCCUGUGACGAAGCGUGAGUGACGGUAAUGGGUAAAGAAGCACCGGCUAACUACGUG